Molecule: ribosomal RNA, 479 nt
Filed under: Salmonella enterica subsp. enterica serovar Newport
Lineage: Bacteria; Pseudomonadati; Pseudomonadota; Gammaproteobacteria; Enterobacterales; Enterobacteriaceae
Description: partial 23S ribosomal RNA
Rfam family: Bacterial large subunit ribosomal RNA
Source: RNAcentral
GAGGCGAUGAAGGACGUGCUAAUCUGCGAUAAGCGCCGGUAAGGUGAUAUGAACCGUUAUAACCGGCGAUUUCCGAAUGGGGAAACCCAGUGUGAUUCGUCACACUAUCAUUAACUGAAUCCAUAGGUUAAUGAGGCGAACCGGGGGAACUGAAACAUCUAAGUACCCCGAGGAAAAGAAAUCAACCGAGAUUCCCCCAGUAGCGGCGAGCGAACGGGGAGGAGCCCAGAGCCUGAAUCAGCAUGUGUGUUAGUGGAAGCGUCUGGAAAGGCGCGCGAUACAGGGUGACAGCCCCGUACACAAAAGCGCAUGUGCUGUGAGCUCGAUGAGUAGGGCGGGACACGUGGUAUCCUGUCUGAAUAUGGGGGGACCAUCCUCCAAGGCUAAAUACUCCUGACUGACCGAUAGUGAACCAGUACCGUGAGGGAAAGGCGAAAAGAACCCCGGCGAGGGGAGUGAAAAAGAACCUGAAACCGUGU